RNAcentral lists this ribosomal RNA (627 nucleotides) under uncultured bacterium. RNAcentral describes it as "bacterial SSU rRNA". It matches the Rfam family "Bacterial small subunit ribosomal RNA", at positions 338 to 1414 of the family's 1533-position model. The record is from RNAcentral.
CCUACGGGAGGCAGCAGUAAGGAAUAUUGGUCAAUGGACGGAAGUCUGAACCAGCCAUGCCGCGUGCAGGAUGACGGCCCUCUGGGUUGUAAACUGCUUUUAUAGGGGACGAAAAAAGGGGAUUCUUCCUCACUUGACGGUACCCUAGGAAUAAGCACCGGCUAACUCCGUGCCAGCAGCCGCGGUAAUACGGAGGGUGCAAGCGUUAUCCGGAUUUACUGGGUUUAAAGGGUGCGUAGGUGGGUCGGUAAGUCAGCGGUGAAAUCUUCGAGCUUAACUCGGAAACUGCCAUUGAUACUAUCGAUCUUGAAUCGUCUAGAGGUAAGCGGAAUAUGUCAUGUAGCGGUGAAAUGCUUAGAUAUGACAUAGAACACCAAUUGCGAAGGCAGCUUACUAUGGAUGUAUUGACACUGAGGCACGAAAGCGUGGGGAUCAAACAGGAUUAGAUACCCUGGUAGUCCACGCCCUAAACGAUGGAUACUCGACAUUUGAGAUAUACUUUAAGUGUUNUGAGNGAAGACAUUAAGUAUCCACCUACGGAGGUACGANCGCGAGAGUAGUAACGUAACGAAAGGAAAGUUAGUACGGCGUGAGACGUAGACCGACGGACGACGACGAGGGAGGAGG